This 253-nucleotide ribosomal RNA is filed under the name uncultured bacterium. RNAcentral's name for it is "partial 16S ribosomal RNA". It matches the Rfam family "Bacterial small subunit ribosomal RNA", at positions 524 to 776 of the family's 1533-position model. The record is from RNAcentral.
GACGAACUGUGCAAACGUUAUUCGGAAUCACUGGGCUUGAAGAGUGCGUAGGCGGUUUUGUAAGUAGGGUGUGAAAGCCCCCGGCUCAACCGGGGAAUUGCGCCCUAAACUGCAAGGCUGGAGUGAGGUAGGGGUGUGUGGAACUUCUAGUGGAGCGGUGAAAUGUGUUGAUAUUAGAAGGAACGCCGGUGGCGAAAGCGACACACUGGACCUUGUCUGACGCUGAGGCACGAAAGCCAGGGGAGCAAACGAG